CUUCCGUUACAGUGACCUGCGGAGGGAUCAUUGCUGGAACGCGCCCCUGGCGCACCCAGAAACCCUUUGUGAACUUAUACCUUACUGUUGCCUCGGCGCAUGCUGGCCCCCUCGGGGUCCCUUGGAGACAAGGAGCAGGCACGCCGGCGGCCAAGUUAACUCUUGUUUUUACACUGAAACUCUGAGAAAAAACACAAAUGAAUCAAAACUUUCAACAACGGAUCUCUUGGUUCUGGCAUCGAUGAAGAACGCAGCGAAAUGCGAUAAGUAAUGUGAAUUGCAGAAUUCAGUGAAUCAUCGAAUCUUUGAACGCACAUUGCGCCCUCUGGUAUUCCGGAGGGCAUGCCUGUUCGAGCGUCAUUUCAACCCUCAAGCAUUGCUUGGUGUUGGGGCACUGCUUUUUACCCAAAAGCAGGCCCUGAAAUCUAGUGGCGAGCUCGCCAGGACCCCGAGCGCAGUAGUUAAACCCUCGCUUUGGAAGGCCCUGGCGGUGCCCUGCCGUUAAACCCCCAACUUUUGAAAAUUUGACCUCGGAUCAGGUAGGAAUACCCGCUGAACUUAAGCAUAUCAUAA
Molecule: ribosomal RNA, 573 nt
Filed under: Diaporthe sp.
Lineage: Eukaryota; Fungi; Ascomycota; Sordariomycetes; Diaporthales; Diaporthaceae
Description: eukaryotic LSU rRNA
Rfam family: 5.8S ribosomal RNA (bases 207-360)
Source: RNAcentral